ACCAAGGAAAAGGAGCCGGUAUCAGGCUCAACUUUAAGCCCACGACACCUAGCCACGCCACGCCCACAAGGGUAUUCAGCAGUGAUAAACCUUGUUUAUAAGCGCAAGCUUGAAUCAGCUAUGGCAAAGAGGGCCGGCAAAUCCGGUGCCAGCCGCCGCGGCUACACCGUUAGGCCCAAGUUGACACACACCGGCGUUAAGCGUGAUUAGAGUGAUUACACUGAUUAGAGUUAAACCCAAACUUAGUCGUGAUACACUUGUUCCCGGGAAACCCAAAAACGAAAGUUACUCUAACCAACCCACUUGACCCCACGACAGCUAGGACACAACUGGGAUUAGGUACCCACUAUGCCUAGCCGUAAAAUAUACACUCACCCCAUAAAUCGCCAGGGAAUUACGAGCCCAAGCUUAAAACCCAAAGGACUUGACGGUGUCCCACCCACCUAGAGGAGCCUGUUCUAUAAUCGAUUCCCCCCGAUAAACCUCACCACUUCUGGCCAACUCAGCCUGUAUACCUCCGUCGUAAGCUUACCAUGUGAACGAAGCCAGUGAGCCAAAAGAUCCAACAUCAGUACGUCAGGUCAAGGUGCAGCUAACGAACUGGAAAGAAAUGGGCUACAAUUUCUACCAUAGAACAAACGAAAGGCUACAUGAAACAUAGUCACUGAAGGCGGAUUUAGCAGUAAAAAGAAAA
RNAcentral lists this ribosomal RNA (694 nucleotides) under Chiasmocleis capixaba. Its description in RNAcentral is "partial 12S ribosomal RNA". It matches the Rfam family "Bacterial small subunit ribosomal RNA", at positions 9 to 1349 of the family's 1533-position model. Lineage: Eukaryota; Metazoa; Chordata; Amphibia; Anura; Microhylidae. The record is from RNAcentral.